AGAGACAGAAACCUUCGGGCGGAAGACUUUGUUGACUGAGUGGCGGACGGGUGAGUAACGCGUGGGUAACCUGCCUUACACAGGGGGAUAACAGUUAGAAAUGACUGCUAAUACCGCAUAAGACCACAGCACCACAUGGUGCAGGGGUAAAAACUGAGGUGGUGUAAGAUGGGCCCGCGUCUGAUUAGCUAGUUGGUGGGGUAAGAGCCCACCAAGGCGACGAUCAGUAGCCGACCUGAGAGGGUGACCGGCCACAUUGGGACUGAGACACGGCCCAAACUCC
This 283-nucleotide ribosomal RNA is filed under the name uncultured Lachnospiraceae bacterium. RNAcentral's name for it is "partial 16S ribosomal RNA". The stretch from base 45 to 283 matches the Rfam family "Bacterial small subunit ribosomal RNA", at positions 100 to 339 of the family's 1533-position model. Lineage: Bacteria; Bacillati; Bacillota; Clostridia; Lachnospirales; Lachnospiraceae. The record is from RNAcentral.